Helicoverpa armigera (cotton bollworm) is the source of this 1812-nucleotide long non-coding RNA. RefSeq lists it as uncharacterized. NCBI's taxonomy places the organism in Eukaryota, Metazoa, Arthropoda, Insecta, Lepidoptera, Noctuidae. The transcript is spliced from 4 exons. The record is from RefSeq and is a predicted model, not a curated record.
GUAGCAUUAAGGACGCGUUUGCAGUUUGAGCAAAAUUAAGCUGUUUUUCGGUACAUUUUGCGACUAAACCAAGCCAAAUCAAAUAUGACAAAUAACUCCUAGUUAUAGCUUGGGUCUUCAACUAUAAACGCGAGGAAGGUUUUUGUUGAAAAAAUAAAUUUUUGAUAUCAUAAAAAAGUUAUUUCGUAACCCCUUUCUACAAAAUUCAUGAUUCCGGGUCAAGUUUAGGUACAAUUUUCUACUAAGAAUAAAGUAAUUUAAUAUUGAUUUAUUUUUUGUAAAUAGGCAAACAUAGUCAAGAUUAAAUGUGAGGAAAAAAAAUACAGUAUUGUGCUAUGAAUAAGGUUAGAAAAAAUAAAAACAAAACCAAUUUUUUUCACAUAUUUUGCUACUAACGAUGAGUCUUAACAGCUUGAAAUAGGGGUUAUUUUAUUUGUAUUCCUUCCGACCCACGAUUGUGCGAAAGCCUCAUUCUGAGUCAGUCUGCGCUCGGCCGCCGUCGUGAGAGGACACUGUAUCGCUCGUUUCCAGCUGCUCGUGUUGAAAAGAUCGCUGUAUAAAUACAAAAUAUUCGACUAACCAAAUUUGAUCCUUCUAAGAUGCCGAGAAGUCGAACGUUUGGCAAAAGCUCUCGUAAACAAGUGCUUUCCAGAAAAAAUGCAUUGGAAAAUAUAAGACGACUUCGAGAAGUGAGUCGCAAUUCUAGUGACAUAAGUGAGGUGCAUUCAGAAGAAACAGAUUGUAGUACUUCCAAUAACAAUGACUUGGAGACAUCUUACACCGCUGUGGAUGAAGAAAAAGUAACCUAUCAGAUUUCAGGAAGAAGGCUUAUUGAAAUGGCUUAUUUUAUGGAGCAAUUACAAGGAAUCAGCAAUCAUAAGUCUAUGUUUAAUUGUAAUUUGAGUACAAUUGAACUAUUGAGUGAAAAAAGGUCUGGGCUUCACUCGACCUUUUCAAUUAAAUGCAAAAUGUGUGGUGCUGAAUUCACGUUAGAAUCAUCCAAAAAAACUGAAAAUAAAAUGGACGUGAAUGAAGAAAUUGUCGCUGGUAUAAUGACGAUUGGUGCUGGGGUUACACAGCUUAAUACUGUUUUGUGUCAUGUAAAUAUGCCACCAAUGUCAGUACGAUUGUACCAAGCUAAGCAUGACAUAAUAAGUCGGUGGUGGAAAAGGCUGCGCAGCACUACAUGAUCGAGGCGGGUAAAGAGGAGAAAGACAAUGCUUUAGCUAUUGGAAGUGUAAAUACAGAUGGGUUAGCUAUGAUACCUGUAUCGGGUGAUGCAUGUUGGUCCAAGCGCUCUUAUGGAACCAAUUACAGUGCUUCCUCCGGUGUUGGUGCAAUCGUAGGCAUGCACUCAAAAAAAGUAUUAUAUUAUGGUGUCAAAAAUAAAUUCUGCAAUAUCUGUGCACGAGCAGAAAAUAAAGGGCAUUACCUAGGAAACAUGCUUGUUUUAAAAAUUUUCAAGGUCCUUCUACCGCUAUAGAAGCAGUUGUAAUAACAGAGGGCUUCAAAAAGUCCAUUGGUAUGCAUGGACUUAUCUACCACCAGUUUAUAGCAGAUGGUGAUUCAAGCACUUAUGCUAGCAUUAGGAACGCAAGGCCUUAUGAUAACAUAACUGUGGGUAAAAUCGAAUGUAAAAAUCAUUUACUAAGAAAUUACUGCAAAGGCCUGCUAGCAAUUUGUAGUAAUACUUCUUUCCACAUAAGGGGCCGAAAGAUUCUGAAAGAAAAUUAUUUGCGUAUACGUUGGGGCAUUGAUAGUAGCGUCAAAUAUUGGUCCAAUAAAAACGUUGCUUUCGAAGAAAAGGCAAGA